RNAcentral lists this ribosomal RNA (381 nucleotides) under Tomicodon sp. Tq1. RNAcentral's name for it is "partial 12S ribosomal RNA". It matches the Rfam family "Bacterial small subunit ribosomal RNA", at positions 866 to 1414 of the family's 1533-position model. The record is from RNAcentral. Lineage: Eukaryota; Metazoa; Chordata; Actinopteri; Blenniiformes; Gobiesocidae.
UGUCCGCCUGGGUACUAUGAGCUUUAGCUUAAAACCCAAAGGACUUGGCGGUGCUUAAGAUCCACCUAGAGGAGCCUGUUCUAGAACCGAUAACCCCCGUUAAACCUCACCCCCUUUUGUCUUAACCGCCUAUAUACCGCCGUCGUCAGCAUACCCUGUGAAGGAUAUACAGUAAGCACAAUUGGCAUAGCCCAAAACGUCAGGUCGAGGUGUAGCAUAUAAGGGGGGAAGAAAUGGGCUACAUUCUCUACCCCAGAGCACACGAACAUUGGACUGAAAACCCCAUUAGAAGGAGGAUUUAGCAGUAAGGGACAAAUAGAGCGUGCCCCUGAAGACGGCCCUAAAGCGCGUACACACCGCCCGUCACCCUCCUGCAGUCAC